UACGAAGGGGGCUAGCGUUGCUCGGAAUCACUGGGCGUAAAGGGUGCGUAGGCGGGUCUUAAGUCAGGGGUGAAAUCCUGGAGCUCAACUCCAGAACUGCCUUUGAUACUGAAGAUCUUGAGUUCGGGAGAGGUGAGUGGAACUGCGAGUGUAGAGGUGAAAUUCGUAGAUAUUCGCAAGAACACCAGUGGCGAAGGCGGCUCACUGGCCCGAUACUGACGCUGAGGCACGAAAGCGUGGGGAGCAACAGG
Molecule: ribosomal RNA, 251 nt
Filed under: uncultured bacterium
Lineage: Bacteria
Description: partial 16S ribosomal RNA
Rfam family: Bacterial small subunit ribosomal RNA
Source: RNAcentral